RNAcentral lists this long non-coding RNA (801 nucleotides) under Capsella grandiflora. RNAcentral describes it as "long non-coding RNA (CGRA_LNC000340)". The record is from RNAcentral. Lineage: Eukaryota; Viridiplantae; Streptophyta; Magnoliopsida; Brassicales; Brassicaceae.
CGAUUGAGUAAGUUAUGGACUACGGAGUUACUCAUGCUUUCACUUUGUAGUGAAUCAAACUUGCCUGAUCUGUUAAGUAAAGUAGUGAUUAUAUUAUAUAAUAAGAAGAAAGAAAAAAAUACAAUCUAAGCUUUUGCCAUGUAAAAGAAAAAGUAAUAAUACUAUUUGUCCCAAAAAAAAGAAGAAGAAUCUAACAGAGUAGACAACCCAAAAAAAGCAGUUCUUUAAAUCAUCUUUUCCUUUCAGUUAGAAGACAAAGCUUAAAAUUAGUUAGUUGAGGCAAUGGAACAUGUGUUGUUUACACAGAGAAGAAAAGAAUCGUCUUUCGUAGUCUAACAAAGCCGAGAUUUUAUGAACAAGAAUCACAAACACUCAGAACCCUCUUUUCACUUUAGUGGCGGAAACUUUGCAAAAUCGAAUAACAGAAACACACGAAAUUGAAGGUGAAAUUCAGAAAUCAAAAAAUUACCUGUUAAGCGAACCGAAACAAAGAAUCUGAAGAAGAGAAUCAAAGAGAGAGAGAGAGAGAGAGGAAGAUCCCAGAAUCAGAGGAUGGUCUAAUGAGGAAGCGACUAGUGUGGUGUAUUGGGGGGGUCUCCUCUUCUCUCCUUGGCUACUUCACUCACUUCACACUCACGUGUAAUCGAAGUUAAAACGGGCACUUUAUCCAGCGAUUAAGCUACGUGGCGCAUCGUGAUACGAGCACCUAGGAGGAACGGCACGGGGAAAGAGAGAGAGAUGAUACGUUUUGAUGGACGGUACACUUGUGGACUCCACCUUUCUGUGUGUUUGAUAUUUUUC